Molecule: long non-coding RNA, 1466 nt
Filed under: Sus scrofa (pig)
Lineage: Eukaryota; Metazoa; Chordata; Mammalia; Artiodactyla; Suidae
Description: lncRNA (ENSSSCG00005023985.1)
Source: RNAcentral
CGUGAGGAGUGUUUAAGCUCCAUGAGUGCGACAAACUGUUGGAUCUCCCUAAACCCUGUUAUGCAGAAGUUUGCCAGAAAGCCCAAGAGGUCAGUAUAAGAUGAAUAUUGACAGAUUGGAUAAACUUGUGCUGAGAGAGCAAGUGAAUUAUACUUGAUCUCUCUGGUCUGGGAAGUGUUCAUGUAAAUUGAAAGAACUGAUGUGUCUUUUGAAUUAAAUAAGUGCUUUGAUGAUGUAAUGAGCCAAUAAAAAUAGUGAUGUGUUAUGUCAUAAAUUGUGUUAAUACACAAACUCGAUUAGCAUUAUUACAGUGGUCAAAAUAUUUUAAUUUCAUGUUGACUGGGUUCUAGUAAAUACUUUGUGGAGAAAUACUAAGGAAGUCAUUUGUGACAUUAGGUUACAAUAAGAUGGUGACUUCCAUCCCAGCUUUGCUUUCUCACUCUGUUAAAGCAUAGUUUACUCUAUGGAAACCAGCUUCCUGUCAUAAGGCAGCCCAGAGAGAAGGAACAUAGUUAUGUGUUGUGAAGACACUCAGCCUAUCAAGAGGUCCAUGUGAUGAGGAACUGAGGACCACUAGCAACUUUGAGGGAGUGUGGAAACAGAUCUUCCCCUGUCAACCUUGAGAGGACUACAUCCCUAUGUAACAGUCUGACUGCUACCUCUUGAGAGACCCUGAGGCAUAACCACCCAGCCAAGCCACUCCCGGACACUUAAUCCACAGAAACCAUGAACCAAUAGAUGCUGAUUGGUUUAAGCUGCUAAACUUGGAACAAUUUAUUGCACAGCAACAAAAGAGCAGAUCACCUGCUGUUAAUUUCUUGCAAUUUUGAAAGCAACAAUUCCCUGCAAGACAUUAAAAGAAACAACUCUUUAAGGUGGAAGUCUUCCAUAGGAAAAUAUAGAAUGAGUUGCUCAGAGGAGGGGACAGCAGAUGGAGCUGCUGGCAGUCAUUUCAGCAGGUACAUACAAGGAGCUACGAAUGGAUUAGAGUCUUUUGAUAACAUUUUUGAAUGACUGAUUCAGUCAUAUUUGAGGUCCCUGUUAUUUGCACAUUCCAUGAACCAUUUCUACUGAAGGAAAUUUUUGUUGGCUUUCCUGAACAUAGAACCAAAGGAUCUUGGUAGAAAAAAAGAAUGCUAAUUUGAAAACAAAAUUUGAGAUAUUUCUGCCAGAAACAAAGAAUAUUGAACUUCCCUCAACAAGAAAGCAAUGCAUAUUUUGGAAACAACUGAGGGUUAAUCUGUCAAAUUGUGUUACUUGUACUGCUUUAAGCAGGAGGAUUAGAUGCAACAAAAAUCAUAUUAUGCCUUUUAUCUGUCACAGAUCAAUGGGGUUGUUGAAAGCUGAGUUAUGAAAAGAGCAUUGAACCACAAGUGUAAGAAGAAAACAUGGGAAAUCUUAAGCAAAAAAUGGUAGGAUCCAAUUUAUAUUUUUAAAGAUCAUUCUGGUUGUUGAGAUGAGAACUG